Molecule: small nucleolar RNA, 106 nt
Organism: Cajanus cajan (pigeon pea)
Lineage: Eukaryota; Viridiplantae; Streptophyta; Magnoliopsida; Fabales; Fabaceae
Rfam family: Plant small nucleolar RNA R71
About the family: R71 is a member of the C/D box family of snoRNAs containing the C (UGAUGA) and D (CUGA) box motifs. Multiple nearly identical copies of this snoRNA have been identified in Arabidopsis, and it is thought to function as a 2'-O-ribose methylation guide for 18S ribosomal RNA.
Source: Rfam
AAACCAUGUUGUGGACAAGCUUCAAGAUAUCCCUUGUAACGCUCCCAUGCUUCAUAAAUAGUUUCAUUUCUUCCUUGUUAAAGUUAGUGAUUUUCUUCCUUAAUUC